GCAGGAACUGCAUCCAUUCACCCUGACUUCAAUCAGACCAAGGCACUGCUGGGCGGUGCGGUCACCGUGAGAGGACAAGCAGGAGUAGGCCUACCCGAGAAGCAGUGGCCAACCAGAGACGCCUGCUUGGCACAACCAGAGAAGAGCAGGAAGCCAAAGAGGGCUCCCCAUUGAACCCCUCCCCGGGCGCGGCCCCUCACCCGGCACACUCACCGGCCUCUCUGCGGACCUGGGGAUAGCACACGGCAAGGGCUGGUCACCUCCCUCUUUCUAAGCCCUCUCUGAGCUUGUCCAGCCAAGAGGUCAGAAAGGAGCAAGCCCUGGAUCAGGCACGGGGUUUAGAACCCUAAACAGCUACUUUUCAUUCUCUCCAAUAAGCAAGCCGUCUAGGAGUAUUAUUGUAUACUAAAAAAUGUAUUUAUAAAUCAGCCUACUCAGAGCCAGACUUGAUGGUAAUACAGGAAGAGAAAAACUCCCAACCUGAAUGAUGUCUGGGACGAGUUCAUGUUUCCAAAAUCUUAGAAUGAAUUUUAGGAACAACGGAGGUGAAG
This 551-nucleotide long non-coding RNA is filed under the name Chinchilla lanigera (long-tailed chinchilla). RNAcentral describes it as "lncRNA (ENSCLAG00000027305.1)". The record is from RNAcentral. Lineage: Eukaryota; Metazoa; Chordata; Mammalia; Rodentia; Chinchillidae.